UGCGGAAGGAUCAUUGUCGAAACCU
RNAcentral lists this ribosomal RNA (25 nucleotides) under Phyllanthus sikkimensis. Its description in RNAcentral is "partial 18S ribosomal RNA". Lineage: Eukaryota; Viridiplantae; Streptophyta; Magnoliopsida; Malpighiales; Phyllanthaceae. RNAcentral also lists the same sequence under 1 other name. The record is from RNAcentral.